GACGAACGCUGGCGGCGUGCUUAACACAUGCAAGUCGAACGGAAAGGCCCUGCUUUUGUGGGGUGCUCGAGUGGCGAACGGGUGAGUAACACGUGAGUAACCUGCCCUUGACUUUGGGAUAACUUCAGGAAACUGGGGCUAAUACCGGAUAGGAGCUCCUGCUGCAUGGUGGGGGUUGGAAAUUUUCGGCGGUUGGGGAUGGACUCGCGGCUUAUCAGCUUGUUGGUGGGGUAGUGGCUUACCAAGGCUUUGACGGGUAGCCGGCCUGAGAGGGUGACCGGCCGCAAUGGGACUGGGCUAGGGCACAGGAUCCUUCGGGAGGCAGCAGUGGGGUAUAUUGCACAAUGGGAGGAAGCCUGAUGCAGCAACGCCGCGUGCGGGAUGACGGCCUUCGGGUUGUAAGAGGCUUUCGCCUGUGACGAAGCGUGAGUGACGGUAAUUGGUAAAGAAGCACCGGCUAACUACGUG
This 468-nucleotide ribosomal RNA is filed under the name uncultured bacterium. RNAcentral describes it as "partial 16S ribosomal RNA". It matches the Rfam family "Bacterial small subunit ribosomal RNA", at positions 28 to 507 of the family's 1533-position model. The record is from RNAcentral.